AAUCAACGCUGGCGGCGCGCUUAACACAUGCAAGUCGAACGAGAAAGCCGGAGCAAUCUGGUGAGUAAAGUGGCGUACGGGUGAGUAACACGUGGAUCAUCUACCUCUUAGUGUGGAAUAACCAUGGGAAACCGUGGCUAAUACCGCAUAAGUCCGUGAGGAGAAAGCAGCAAUGCGCUGAGAGAGGAGUCCGCGGCCGAUUAGCUAGUUGGCAGGGUAAAAGCCUACCAAGGCAGAGAUCGGUAGCCGGCCUGAGAGGGCACACGGCCACACUGGCACUGAAACACGGGCCAGACUCCUACGGGAGGCAGCAGUGGGGAAUCUUGCACAAUGGGGGAAACCCUGAUGCAGCGACGCCGCGUGAGCGAUGAAGCCCUUCGGGGUGUAAAGCUCUUUCGGCAGGGAAGAUUAUGACGGUACCUGCAGAAGCAGCUGCGGCUAACUACAUGCCAGCAGCCGCGGUAAUACGUAGGCAGCGAGCGUUGUUCGGAGUUACUGGGCGUAAAGGGUGUGUAGGCGGUCGCCUAAGUUUGGUGUGAAAUCUCCCGGCUCAACCGGGAGGGUGCGCCGAAUACUGAGUGACUAGAGUGUGGGAGAGGAAAGUGGAAUUCCUGGUGUAGCGGUGAAAUGCGUGGAUAUCAGGAGGAGCACCGGCGGUGUAGACGGCUUUCUGGACCAUAACUGACGCUGAAACACGAAAGCGUGGGUAGCAAACAGGAUUAGAUACCCUGGUAGUCCACGCCCUAAACGAUGCAUAUUUGGUGUGGGUCAUUCAGUUGAUCCGUGCCGGAGCUAACGCGUUAAAUAUGCCGCCUGGGGAGUACAGUCGCAAGGCUG
RNAcentral lists this ribosomal RNA (837 nucleotides) under uncultured bacterium. RNAcentral's name for it is "bacterial SSU rRNA". It matches the Rfam family "Bacterial small subunit ribosomal RNA", at positions 28 to 896 of the family's 1533-position model. The record is from RNAcentral.